This 356-nucleotide ribosomal RNA is filed under the name uncultured Bacteroidota bacterium. RNAcentral's name for it is "bacterial SSU rRNA". It matches the Rfam family "Bacterial small subunit ribosomal RNA", at positions 22 to 377 of the family's 1533-position model. Lineage: Bacteria; Pseudomonadati; Bacteroidota. The record is from RNAcentral.
GCUCAGGAUGAACGCUAGCUACAGGCUUAACACAUGCAAGUCGGGGGGUAGCAGGGUAGCAAUACCGCUGACGACCGGCGCACGGGUGAGUAACACGUAUCCAACCUUCCCAUAACUCAGGGAUAGCCUUUCGAAAGAAAGAUUAAUACCUGAUAGUACUUAAGAAAGGCAUCUUUUUUAAGUUAAAGAUUUAUUGGUUAUGGAUGGGGAUGCGUUCCAUUAGAUAGUUGGUGAGGUAACGGCUCACCAAGUCUUCGAUGGAUAGGGGUUCUGAGAGGAAGGUCCCCCACAUUGGUACUGAGACACGGACCAAACUCCUACGGGAGGCAGCAGUGAGGAAUAUUGGUCAAUGGGCG